UUGAAAGGGAAACGAUUGAAGUCAGUCGUACCUGCGGGUAAUCAGCCUUUUGGGCAUGAUUCUGUGGAGCGUGAGGAGUUAAACGCCUUCAUGCCUGCAUAUUCGUGUACUUUGGGUGUACUUGCCUGUGUGGUUAGUUAACAUCAAUUUUGGUUAUCAUAAAAUGGCUGGAGGAAUGUAGCUUCGAUUUCGAUUGAAGUGUUAUAGACUUCGGCAGAUGUGAUGAUCGGAAUUGAGGAUUGCAACGGAUACCCUUCGGGGCUACCUGUCUGAUCUCUGAUCGUUGCUCUGGUGCCGAAAGCGUGCUUACGGUUAUCAAAGUCGAUGGUCAACAGGUUAGAAUGGGUUAAAUUCGUUAAGGAUGUUGACGUA
Molecule: ribosomal RNA, 372 nt
Filed under: uncultured Glomeromycotina
Lineage: Eukaryota; Fungi; Glomeromycota
Description: eukaryotic LSU rRNA
Source: RNAcentral